RNAcentral lists this ribosomal RNA (450 nucleotides) under uncultured bacterium. Its description in RNAcentral is "SSU rRNA". It matches the Rfam family "Bacterial small subunit ribosomal RNA", at positions 26 to 518 of the family's 1533-position model. The record is from RNAcentral.
AGGAUGAACGCUGGCGGUCUGCUUAACACAUGCAAGUCGAACGGAGUACCUCGGUACUUAGUGGCGGACGGGUGAGUAACGCGUGAGAAUCUGCCCUUAGGUCGGGGACAACCAUUGGAAACGAUGGCUAAUACCGGAUAAGCCGAGAGGUAAAAGAUUAAUUGCCUAGGGAAGAGCUCGCGUCUGAUUAGCUAGUUGGUGAGGUAAAGGCUCACCAAGGCAUCGAUCAGUAGCUGGUCUGAGAGGAUGAUCAGCCACACUGGGACUGAGACACGGCCCAGACUCCUACCCGGGAGGCAGCAGUGGGGAAUUUUCCGCAAUGGGCGAAAGCCUGACGGAGCAAGACCGCGUGAGGGAGGAAGGCUCUUGGGUUGUAAACCUCUUUUCUUGGGAAGAACAAAUGACGGUACCCAAGGAAUCAGCAUCGGCUAACUCCGUGCCAGCAGCCGC